RNAcentral lists this long non-coding RNA (1072 nucleotides) under Sus scrofa (pig). RNAcentral describes it as "lncRNA (ENSSSCG00005038766.1)". The record is from RNAcentral. Lineage: Eukaryota; Metazoa; Chordata; Mammalia; Artiodactyla; Suidae.
CACCCUUUGAGCAGACACUGCAGUUCUGUAUGUGGUUUUAAAUCACUGUAAAUUUGUAGGCAGGUACAUAUCACAAUUGUCUGUUUUUCUUUUUAGGGCUCAUGUAAUCAAAGAAGUUUCUUUGUUGUGUGUAUCUUUUCAGAACACAACAGGAAUUGAAAAUGAAUCAGAACCCAGCCUUGGCAGCCGCUCUGCCUCCUCCCCUCACGCUCCAUUUUCGAAUCACAGAACGCAGCUGAGCCUGUGGCAGGCGCCGAGACCCCGGCCGCCUGGCCGAGGUGCCUGAACAUGUGCUUCGAGGACUUCCGGAGGAAGUGAGGCUUUUCCCAUCUGCUGUUGACAAGACUCGGAUUGGUGAGUGCUGGGCUCUCAGAAGGAGGCAGGAGGCAGGGCAGGCGGCUCGAGGCCUCCUCGGGGGGCUUCAGGUAGGGGAGUUACUGUAAAGCAGCAGAUCUAUACUUGGACCUAGAAGAUGACGUUUGUCGCUUGAAGAUCCAGGAUGGACACAGAAUAUGAAAGGAAACAGAAGCACACCCACACCCACCCACCAUCCUUCGUGACUCAGCCGGAGCAGCCCCGGCCUCUGUGUCUGCUCAGGCUCUUCCCACAGCCUGCAUUGCUCUCUCCUCUCUGAUUGCACCGUGAUUUGGGUGUGACGAUGCUGUUAUAUUUAUGUCAUCGUUGUAUUUGUUUUUGUAUCUGUCCCUUUCAUUGACUGUGAGUGUCUUCAUUUCUUUUUUCUUUUCUUUUUUGUCUUUUCUAGGGCCACACCUGCAGCAUAUGGAGGUUCCCAGGCUAGGGGUCUAAUUGGAGCUAUAGCUGCCAGCCUGCACCACAGUCACAGCAGCGUGGGAUCUGAGCCGCGUUUGCGACCCACACCACAGCUCACGGCAACGCCGUAUCCUUAACCCACUGAGCGAGUCCAGGAAUCGAACCCACAACCUCGUGGUUCCUAGUCAGAUUCGUUAACCACUGAGCCACGAUGGGAACUCCCCCCUUUCUUAUUUAUCUUGAUGUCGCUAACCUGACGCUUUGUGGACCUCAGUAGAUGUUUGAGGGAAUAGAUAUCCUG